AGCUUCAGUAGCGUAUAUUAAAGUUGUUGCAUUUAAAAAGCUCGUAGUUGGUGGCUCACUUACCUCAUUUGCGCGUUUCUAGCUGCGCUCCUUGUGGAAAGUUGGUAUUUGGUGGCCGCACCACGUACACUGUGAGUAAAUUAGAGUGAUCCAAACAGGUUAAGCCUGAAUGUUUCAGCAUGGUAUGGGUUGUUGACAGCGCCAACUUUUCGCAUUCGUAUGUGAAGGUUGUGUGAAGUAAAGGUUAAUAAAGAUGGAUGAUGGGAUUCGUAUUGAGUUGCUAGAGGUGAAAUUCUUGGACCAACUCAAGACGUUCUGAAGCGAAAGCUUUUCCCACAGAUACUCUUA
Molecule: ribosomal RNA, 348 nt
Filed under: uncultured eukaryote
Lineage: Eukaryota
Description: partial small subunit ribosomal RNA
Rfam family: Eukaryotic small subunit ribosomal RNA
Source: RNAcentral